GACAGAGGUGCCGAGCGUUAGGCGGAAUCACUGGGCUUAAAGCGUGUGUAGGCGGGUCGUUAAGUGUCUUGUGAAAUCCCACCGCUCACCGGUGGAACGGCUGGGCAUACUGGCGACCUUGAGAGGCCUAGGGGCAGACGGAACAAGCGGUGGAGCGGUGAAAUGCGUAGAUAUCGCUUGGAACGCCGACGGCGAAAGCAGUCUGCUGGGGGCCUUCUGACGCUGAGACACGAAAGCCAGGGGAGCAAACGGG
RNAcentral lists this ribosomal RNA (253 nucleotides) under uncultured bacterium. RNAcentral's name for it is "partial 16S ribosomal RNA". It matches the Rfam family "Bacterial small subunit ribosomal RNA", at positions 524 to 776 of the family's 1533-position model. The record is from RNAcentral.